AUUUGCAAUAGCUACGUCCAGUUCUUCAUUUCUUGUUCUGAUGAUCACGGGACUCAUUUCUGGAAUCAUAUUUAUUUUCCUCCUGUUCCUGUUCCUGUACAAAAAGAAAUGUUCUGCUGAUGACCCGAGGGUGAGUCAGGAUGAAAAUCAACAGCAAGUCUACUCCUCUCUUCUUCAUGGUGAGGAUUCUGUCUAUGAAACAAUCAGAGACUCUGGAAAUACUCAAAAUGCUGGGUGAUCUGUGUGAUGUGGGUCCAGUGGGUCCUUCUUGUGGAAACUCAACGAUUCUUUCUAUCCAAAGUGGGCGAACUAUGAGAAGUGACAGUAGUUUGAUCAUCUCCUUUCCUCAUAACUGAAAACUUAUUCUCACUCUCAACCAUCAGACCUUUGUCAGGUCCCAUUCACUCAUAUUUGCCACCAUUCACGGACCAUCAAGUUGCAAACUAUGGGCACAAAUAUACAUUAACCUUUUCGAGUAAAGUAUUUAGUUUUAACGUUUAGCUAAACAUCCGAAAUAUGUUUUAAAAAUGUUUCUCUGAUGUUUUGUUUAUAUAUUAUUUAUGUUUUAAUUUCUCACUAAUGUAAAAAAAAGUCCAUAUCCAAAAAUGACCAUGCAAACGUUAAAUAUAAGUGAGGCAACUCUCUAAAAGGUUCAUUAAUUACAUUACCUGUGUCAGUGUGUGAUUUUAUCCUUAACAUUGUACAAUAAGUUGGUUAGAAAUCAUAUUAAAUAUUAUAAUAUUGACUUAAUAGUGUCUUCUAUUGCAAAUGAGUGUUUCUAUUACAUAUUUAUGCUCUCUAUAAUCAAAACUUUUUUUAUUAAAGCUUUUGUAUAACAUUUCAUGUAACAACAGAAAGUUUAAAAGGUGUUAUAUGUAGUAUUUGUAGUGUCUGAAAAUGUAGCUGUUGCUGUGUUACAGUAGAUACAAUGAGCAUAUUUUUACACAUUAGAUCUUCUACAUUAUC
Oreochromis aureus is the source of this 966-nucleotide long non-coding RNA. RefSeq lists it as uncharacterized. Lineage: Eukaryota; Metazoa; Chordata; Actinopteri; Cichliformes; Cichlidae. The transcript has 4 exons. The record is from RefSeq and is a predicted model, not a curated record.